UCCUACGGGAGGCAGCAGUGGGGAAUAUUGGACAAUGGGGGCAACCCUGAUCCAGCAAUGCCGCGUGAGUGAUGAAGGCCUUAGGGUUGUAAAGCUCUUUCGGCGGGGACGAUGAUGACGGUACCCGCAGAAGAAGCCCCGGCUAACUUCGUGCCAGCAGCCGCGGUAAUACGAAGGGGGCGAGCGUUGUUCGGAAUUACUGGGCGUAAAGGGCGCGCAGGCGGUCCUUCAAGUCAGGCGUGAAAGCCCCGGGCUCAACCUGGGAAUAGCGCUUGAGACUGGAGGACUUGAGGACGGGAGAGGAGAGUGGAAUUCCCAGUGUAGAGGUGAAAUUCGUAGAUAUUGGGAAGAACACCAAUGGCGAAGGCAGCUCUCUGGACCGUUACUGACGCUGAGGCGCGAAAGCGUGGGGAGCAAACAGGAUUAGAUACCCGUGUAGUCCC
Molecule: ribosomal RNA, 443 nt
Filed under: uncultured bacterium
Lineage: Bacteria
Description: bacterial SSU rRNA
Rfam family: Bacterial small subunit ribosomal RNA
Source: RNAcentral